Molecule: ribosomal RNA, 445 nt
Filed under: uncultured bacterium
Lineage: Bacteria
Description: bacterial SSU rRNA
Rfam family: Bacterial small subunit ribosomal RNA
Source: RNAcentral
ACCAGACUCCUACGGGAGGCAGCAGUGGGGAAUAUUGCACAAUGGGGGGAACCCUGAUGCAGCGACGCCGCGUGAGUGAAGAAGUAUUUCGGUAUGUAAAGCUCUAUCAGCAGGGAAGAAGAUGACGGUACCUGACUAAGAAGCCCCGGCUAACUACGUGCCAGCAGCCGUGGUAAUACGUAGGGGGCAAGCGUUAUCCGGAUUUACUGGGUGUAAAGGGAGCGUAGACGGCAGGGCAAGUCUGGAGUGAAAGCCCGGGGCCCAACCCCGGGACUGCUUUGGAAACUGUGUAACUGGAGUACAGGAGGGGCAGGCGGAAUUCCUGGUGUAGCGGUGAAAUGCGUAGAUAUCAGGAGGAACACCGGCGGCGAAGGCGGCCUGCUGGACUGAAACUGACGUUGAGGCUCGAAAGCGUGGGGAGCAAACAGGAUUAGAUACCCUUGUA